RNAcentral lists this transfer RNA (74 nucleotides) under Paramuricea clavata. It matches the Rfam family "tRNA". From Rfam's summary of the family: Transfer RNA (tRNA) molecules are approximately 80 nucleotides in length. Their secondary structure includes four short double-helical elements and three loops (D, anti-codon, and T loops). Further hydrogen bonds mediate the characteristic L-shaped molecular structure. tRNAs have two regions of fundamental functional importance: the anti-codon, which is responsible for specific mRNA codon recognition, and the 3' end, to which the tRNAs corresponding amino acid is attached (by aminoacyl-tRNA synthetases). tRNAs cope with the degeneracy of the genetic code in two manners: having more than one tRNA (with a specific anti-codon) for a particular amino acid; and 'wobble' base-pairing, i.e. permitting non-standard base-pairing at the 3rd anti-codon position. Lineage: Eukaryota; Metazoa; Cnidaria; Anthozoa; Malacalcyonacea; Plexauridae. The record is from Rfam by way of RNAcentral.
GACCUUGUAGCUCAGAUGGUAGAGCAUCGUUCUACAAAUACGAAGGUCGCGGGUUCGAAUCCCAGUCGCGGUCA